UACGUAGGGAGCAAGCGUUGUCCGGAAUCAUUGGGCGUAAAGCGCGCGUAGGCGGCCUCAUAAGUCCGUUGUGAAAGUCAAAGGCUCAACCUUUGAAAGCCGAUGGAUACUGUCAGGCUCGAGUCCGGAAGAGGCAAGUGGAAUUCCCGGUGUAGCGGUGAAAUACGCAGAUAUCGGGAGGAACACCAAUGGCGAAGGCAGCUUGCUGGGACGGUACUGACGCUGAGACGCGAAAGCGUGGGGAGCAAACAGG
This 253-nucleotide ribosomal RNA is filed under the name uncultured bacterium. RNAcentral describes it as "partial 16S ribosomal RNA". It matches the Rfam family "Bacterial small subunit ribosomal RNA", at positions 524 to 776 of the family's 1533-position model. The record is from RNAcentral.